UACGGAGGGUGCAAGCGUUACUCGGAAUCACUGGGCGUAAAGCGCGCGCAGGCGGGCUGAUAAGUUGGAUGUGAAAGCCUACGGCUUAACCGUAGAACUGCAUCCAAAACUGUCAGUCUAGAGUCUGGGAGGGGAAGAUGGAAUUAGUGGUGUAGGGGUAAAAUCCGUAGAGAUCACUAGGAAUACCAAAAGCGAAGGCGAUCUUCUGGAACAGUACUGACGCUGAGGCGCGAAAGCGUGGGGAGCAAACAGGAUUAGAUACCCUGGUAGUCCGCGCCCUAAACGAUGAAUGUUAGUCGUCGGGUAGCUAGUCUAUUCGGUGAUGCAGCUAACGCAUUAAACAUUCCGCCUGGGGAGUACGGUCGCAAGAUUAAAACUCAAAGGAAUAGACGGGGACCCGCACAAGUGGUGGAGCAUGUGGUUUAAUUCGAAGAUACGCGAAGAACCUUACCUGGCCUUGACAUUGAUAGAAUUCUGUAGAGAUACGGAAGUGCCCUUCGGGGAGCUUGAAAACAGGUGCUGCACGGCUGUCGUCAGCUCGUGUCGUGAGAUGUUGGGUUAAGUCCCGCAACGAGCGCAACCCUCGUCACUAGUUACUAACGGUUCGGCCGAGGACUCUAGUGAGACUGCCUUCGCAAGGAGGAGGAAGGUGAGGACGACGUCAAGUCAUCAUGGCCCUUACGGCCAGGGCGACACACGUGCUACAAUGGGUAGGACAAUGAGACGCGAUACCGCGAGGUGGAGCAAAUCUAUAAACCUACUCUCAGUUCGGAUUGUACUCUGCAACUCGAGUGCAUGAAGCUGGAAUCACUAGUAAUCGUAGAUCAGCCAUGCUACGGUGAAUACGUUCCCGGGUCU
RNAcentral lists this ribosomal RNA (858 nucleotides) under uncultured bacterium. RNAcentral's name for it is "SSU rRNA". It matches the Rfam family "Bacterial small subunit ribosomal RNA", at positions 524 to 1381 of the family's 1533-position model. The record is from RNAcentral.